RNAcentral lists this ribosomal RNA (253 nucleotides) under uncultured bacterium. RNAcentral describes it as "partial 16S ribosomal RNA". It matches the Rfam family "Bacterial small subunit ribosomal RNA", at positions 524 to 776 of the family's 1533-position model. The record is from RNAcentral.
UACAUGUGGGGCAAGCGUUGUUCGGAAUUACUGGGCAUAAAGGGUGCGUAGGCGGCUUGUUAAGUCAGGGGUGAAAGUUUUCGGCCCAACCGGAAAAUUGCCUUUGAUACUGGCGAGCUCGAGUGCGUGAGGGGUAACCGGAACGAGUCGUGCAGCGGUGAAAUGCGUAGAUAUGACUCGGAAGGCCAACGGCGAAGGCAGGUUACUGGUACGCAACUGACGCUGAGGCACGAAAGCGUGGGGAGCAAACAGG